AAUCAAGCGCGAAAAGGGCGUUUGGUGAAUGCCUUGGCAGUAAGAGGCGAUGAAGGACGUGAUACUCUGCGAUAAGUUAUGGGGAGCUGAGAAUAAGCUUUGAUCCAUAAAUUUCCGAAUGGGGCAACCCACCUGAUACUUUGUUAUUAAUACUACUUAUUGUAGUGCCGUUUAAGGGUUCGCCCUUGGGUAGCGUUGCAUGCGGUGGGGCAUAAUAAUAGGGUAAACCAGGUAUUUAUAACUUGAAUACAUAGGGUUAUAAAAGCAAACCCGGGGAACUGAAACAUCUAAGUACCCGGAGGAAAGGACAUCAAUUAGAUACUCCCCUAGUAGCGGCGAGCGAACGGGGACCAGCCGAGCCAUGAGUGUGACUAGAAUGUGUUGGAAAGCACAACCAAAGUGGGUGACAGUCCCGUAUAGGAAGCAUGAUUGGACGUAUUAAGUAGGGCGGGACACGUGAAAUCCUGUUCGAAGAUCGGAGGACCACCUCCGAAGGCUAAGUACUCCUUACUGACCGAUAGUGAACCAGUACCGUGAGGGAAAGGUGAAAAGCACCCCGACGAGGGGAGUGAAACAGUUUCUGAAACCGGACGCCUACAAUCAGUUGGAGGGCCCUUGCGGCCUGACAGCGUACCUUUUGUAUAAUGGGUCAUCGACUUAGUGUAUCUAGCAAGCUUAAGCCGUUAGGUGUAGGCGCAGCGAAAGCGAGUCUUAAUAGGGCGAUUGAGUUAGAUGCAUUAGACCCGAAACCGAGUGAUCUAGGCAUGACCAGGUUGAAGGUUGGGUAACACCAACUGGAGGACCGAACCCACAUCUGUUGAAAAAGAUCGGGAUGAGUUGUGCCUAGGGGUGAAAGGCCAAUCAAACUCGGAGAUAGCUGGUUCUCCGCGAAAUCUAUUUAGGUAGAGCGUCAUCCGAAUACCCCGGGGGGUAGAGCACUGGAUGGGUAAUGGGGCCCCACAGGCUUACUGAUCCUAACCAAACUCCGAAUACCCGGGAGUAAUAGAUGGCAGACACACUGCGGGUGCUAACGCCCGUAGUGAAAAGGGAAACAACCCUGACCGACAGUUAAGGCCCCUAAUUCAUGGCUAAGUGGGAAAGCAGGUGGGACGACCAAAACAACCAGGAAGUUGGCUUAGAAGCAGCCAUCUUUUAAAGAUAGCGUAACAGCUCACUGGUCUAAUUAAGUUGUCCUGCGGCGAAGAUGUAACGGGGCUCAAGCCAUGAGCCGAAACUUCGGAUGCAUUUAAUGCAUGGUAGCGGAGCGUAGUGUGACAUAGUUCCAUGCGUCCUUCGUUUUAUAGCGGACUGCCCAGGCUUUCGAGCCUAUGUGGAGGCGCGUAAAAUACUGGACGCAAGGAGCUUUCUGUGAAGCCGGCCUGUGAGGGAUCCGGUGGAGAGAUCACUAGUGAGAAUGAUGACAUGAGUAACGACAAAGGGGGUGAGAGACCCCCUCGCCGAAAAUCCAAGGGUUCCUGCUUAAAGCUAAUCUGAGCAGGGUAAGCCGGCCCCUAAGCCGAGGGCGAAAGCCGUAGGCGAUGGGAACCAGGUUAAUAUUCCUGGGCCAGGAGGAAGUGACGGAUCACAAAGAUUGUUGGAUCAGGCGUAGUUGCCCCAGCAGUUCAGUGGUUCCUGGAAAUAGCCCUCCAUCAGACCGUACCCUAAACCGACACAGGUGGAUAGGUAGAGUAUACCAAGGCGCUUGAGAGAACUAUGUUGAAGGAACUCGGCAAAAUACCUCCGUAAGUUCGCGAGAAGGAGGCCCGGUUUCUAGGCAACUGGAAGCUGGGGGCACAAACCAGGGGGUG
Molecule: ribosomal RNA, 1808 nt
Filed under: Planktomarina temperata
Lineage: Bacteria; Pseudomonadati; Pseudomonadota; Alphaproteobacteria; Rhodobacterales; Paracoccaceae
Description: partial 23S ribosomal RNA
Rfam family: Bacterial large subunit ribosomal RNA
Source: RNAcentral